CCUCUACCUUCUUCUUGUGGUCUUCAUCCUCAGACUUGUACUUCUCUGCUUCUUGAACCAUCUUCUCAAUCUCCUCCUUGGAGAGCCUGCCCUUGUCGUUGGUGAUGGUGAUCUUGUUCUUUUGUCCAGUAGUCUUGUCCUCAGCAGAAACAUUCAAGAUACCAUUGGCAUCAAUGUCAAAGCACACUGUGAUCUGAGGAACUCCCCUGGGAGCAGGAGGAAUACCAGAGAGCUCAAAUUUGCCAAGCAAGUUGUUGUCCCUGGUCCUAGUUCUCUCACCUUCAUAGACCUGGAUCAACACACCUGGCUGAUUGUCUGAGUAGGUUGAGAAGACCUGUUCUUUCUUGGUUGGGAUAGUG
RNAcentral lists this long non-coding RNA (359 nucleotides) under Solanum tuberosum (potato). RNAcentral describes it as "long non-coding RNA (STUB_LNC008671)". Lineage: Eukaryota; Viridiplantae; Streptophyta; Magnoliopsida; Solanales; Solanaceae. The record is from RNAcentral.